This 672-nucleotide ribosomal RNA is filed under the name uncultured Bacilli bacterium. RNAcentral describes it as "bacterial SSU rRNA". It matches the Rfam family "Bacterial small subunit ribosomal RNA", at positions 58 to 715 of the family's 1533-position model. The record is from RNAcentral. Lineage: Bacteria; Bacillati; Bacillota; Bacilli.
CAAGUAGAACGCUGAAGGAGGAGCUUGCUUCUCUGGAUGAGUUGCGAACGGGUGAGUAACGCGUAGGUAACCUGCCUGGUAGCGGGGGAUAACUAUUGGAAACGAUAGCUAAUACCGCAUAAGAGUAGAUGUUGCAUGACAUUUACUUAAAAGGUGCAAUUGCAUCACUACCAGAUGGACCUGCGUUGUAUUAGCUAGUUGGUGGGGUAACGGCUCGCCAAGGCGACGAUACAUAGCCGACCUGAGAGGGUGAUCGGCCACACUGGGACUGAGACACGGCCCAGACUCCUACGGGAGGCAGCAGUAGGGAAUCUUCGGCAAUGGACGGAAGUCUGACCGAGCAACGCCGCGUGAGUGAAGAAGGUUUUCGGAUCGUAAAGCUCUGUUGUAAGAGAAGAACGAGUGUGAGAGUGGAAAGUUCACACUGUGACGGUAUCUUACCAGAAAGGGACGGCUAACUACGUGCCAGCAGCCGCGGUAAUACGUAGGUCCCGAGCGUUGUCCGGAUUUAUUGGGCGUAAAGCGAGCGCAGGCGGUUAGAUAAGUCUGAAGUUAAAGGCUGUGGCUUAACCAUAGUACGCUUUGGAAACUGUUUAACUUGAGUGCAAGAGGGGAGAGUGGAAUUCCAUGUGUAGCGGUGAAAUGCGUAGAUAUAUGGAGGGACACCGGUGG